Long non-coding RNA from Mirounga angustirostris (Northern elephant seal), 2509 nucleotides. RefSeq lists it as uncharacterized. The record is from RefSeq and is a predicted model, not a curated record. The transcript is spliced from 2 exons. Lineage: Eukaryota; Metazoa; Chordata; Mammalia; Carnivora; Phocidae.
GGAGGACGCCGGAGUCAACAAGACUUGGGGGACGCCCCCAUCCGGCUCCGCCCCACACAGGGAUCGCUCCGCCCGCACACCCAAACAACGCGAGGUCUUGAGGAUACCUGGGGACGGACCCUGUUGGGAGAGAUCCCGCGAGAACAGGGCCUCAACCUCCCCGCCCCCUUCCCCGCUUUAGGACGCUGAGGGACAGAAUAGCUGCUGAGAGGCGGUCACCGGUGGCGGAGAUGGAUUUGAGGGUGGAGGUCUCACCCCGAGGAGGCCGUUCUGUUCCGCGGUGAUUUGGAACAGGCCGUCUAGGUGUCGGAGCAUCUUCGAGGGUGCUUCCCCGCGGGGAACUACCUAGCCAGAAUGCCAAGUGGAUCAGUAGACUCCAAUAUUUUCCCAGCCUUUCCAAGCUAUUUUAUAUUUUCUGAAAUUUCCAAAUGUGUUUUAAAAAGCUGUAAUAAAGCUUAUAUAAAGUUAUAAUGAGAAUCUUAAAAAAAAAAAAAAAACUGGAACAUUAAAGAAUAUAACUCCUAUGAGACCAAACAAAAAAUGUAAAUAUACAUGCCUUGUCAUGUCCAACCACCUCCCUCCACCAAAAGUAUUCAAAGCAAAAUACUGAAAAGCAGAAAAGUUGCUCAAAUUCACUAAAUUCACUAAACAUUAAAAUACUAAAAAUAAAACUGUACUUUCCCAAAGUCAUUUGAUCCUGUUCUUCAAGUGGAUACUUGAGGAAUUCCUGCCCUAUUUAAUAUCAAAAAUGAAACCUCAUGGGCGCCUGGGUGGCUUAGUCGUUAAGCGUCUGCCUCUGGCUCAGGUCAUGAUCCCAGGGUCCUGGGAUCAAGCCCCGCAUCGGGCUCCCUGCUCCACGGGAAGCCUGUUUCUCCCUCUCCCACACUCCCCUGCUUGUGUUCCCUCUCUCGCUGUGUGUCUCUCUGUCAAAUAAAUAAAUAAAAUCUUUAAAAAAAAAAAUGAAACCUCUUUGUUCAGACUAUAUCCAAUAGAAAGCUUUGCAGAAGCUUUCUAAUUUGAUAUAGUCCCACUAGUUUAUUUUUCCUUUUGUUGUUUGUGCUUUUGAUCUCAGAUUCAAAUAUCACUGCUAAGACCUCUGUCAAGAAGGUUACCACCUAUAUUUCUUUCUAGAGGUUUUAUGGUGUCAUGUCUUAUGUUCAAGUCUAAUUCAUUUGAGUUCAUUUUUGUGUAUGAUGGGAGAUAAUGGUUCAAUUUCAUCUAAUGUAUGUGGCUGCCCAUUUUGCCAACACCAUUUAUUGAAGAUAUUGUCCUUUCCCCAUUGUAUAUUCUUUCUUUUUUUAUCAUAAAUUAAUUGACCAUGUAUGGGUAAGGUUUUUUCUGGGCUCUCUAUUCUGUUCUGUUGAUCUAUGUAUCAGUUGUUAUGCUAAUACCAUACUUUUUUAAUUACUAUAGCUUUGUAAUAUAGUUUGAAGUCUGGGAGUGUGAGGCCUCCAGUUUGUUCUUUAUCAAAUUUGCCUUAGCUAUUUGGGAUCUUUUAUGGUUCUACACAAAUUUUAGGAUUGUUUGUUCUAUUUCUAUGAAAAAUGCUAUUGGAAUUUUGAUAGGGAUUGCAUUGAAUUCAUAUAUUGCUUUGGGUAGUACGGGCAUUUUAACAAUAUUCUUUGAAUCCAUGAGCAUGGAAUAUCUUUCCAUUUAUUUGUAUCUUUUCAAUUUAUUUCAUUAAUGUCACAUAGUUUUCAAUAUACAGAUCUUUUGCCUCCUUGGUUAAAUUUAUUCCUAGGUAUUUUAUUCUUCUUGAUGCAAUUGUAAAUGGAUUUUUUCUUAAUUUCCCUUUUCAAUAGUUCAAUAUCAGAAUAGUUCAUUAACAGAAUUUGGUGUUUAACACUCUGUAUUUUGCAACUUGACUGAAUUAAUUUAUUCUAAUUUAUUCUAAUUUAUUCUAAUAUUUUUUGAUGGAGUCCUUAGCAUUUUCUGUAAAUAAUAUGUCAUUUGCAAAUAGUGACAGCAUUUCUUCUUCUUUGCCAUUUUGAAAGCCUUUUAUUUCUUUUUCUUGGCUAAUAGCUCUGACUAGGACGUCCAGUACUGUGCUGAAUAAAGCAGCAAGAGUAAGCAUCCUGUUUUGUUCCUGAACUUAGAGGAAAAGCUCUCAACUUUUCAUUAUUGAGUAUGGUAUUACUUGUGGGCUUGUCAUAAAUGGUGUUUAUUAUGUUCAGGUACAUUCCCUUAUACCUGCUUUGUUGAGAGUCUUUAUCAUAAAUGGACAUUGAAUUUUGUCAAAUGCUUUUUCUGCAUCUAUUCAGAUCAUAUGAUUUUUUUUAUCCUUCAUUUUGUUAAUGUGGUAUAUCACAUUGACUGAUUUGUGGAUGUUUAUCCAUCCUUGCAUCCCUGGAAUACAUCUACUUGAUCAUGGUGUAUGAUUCUUUUAACAUAUCGUUGGAUUCAAUUUGCUAAUAUUUUGUAGAAGAUUUUAUAUCUGUGUUCAUCAAGAAUAUUGGCCUGUAAUUUUCUUUUGUUAUGGUAUCCUUGUUUGGUUUUGGUAUCAGGGUAA